This 245-nucleotide long non-coding RNA is filed under the name Vigna radiata. Its description in RNAcentral is "long non-coding RNA (VRAD_LNC008609)". The record is from RNAcentral. Lineage: Eukaryota; Viridiplantae; Streptophyta; Magnoliopsida; Fabales; Fabaceae.
UUUUGUAUUGUAGCUACCUUCCACGACUCAUUUAUCUAUUAAUAAAAGGUAGCAUGCUGCAUGCUUCAUGCUUAAAACAAUAGACAAUGGUAUUUUGAUAUCUAUUUUUUUCCCACUUAUUUGAUAUUAUCUUUCAUUAUUUUUUAUUUUCUUUUUUUUUUAUUUAUAAAUACCAAAAUUUAUUUUUAUGGCUAUUUUAAUUUUAUAUAAAUUAUAAAAUAGUUGUUAAAUAGUGUCAAUUAACC